Molecule: ribosomal RNA, 352 nt
Filed under: uncultured Oscillospiraceae bacterium
Lineage: Bacteria; Bacillati; Bacillota; Clostridia; Eubacteriales; Oscillospiraceae
Description: partial 16S ribosomal RNA
Source: RNAcentral
GGAGUCUGGGCCGUGUCUCAGUCCCAAUGCGGCCGUUCAACCUCUCAGUUCGGCUACAGAUCGUCGCCUUGGUGAGCCGUUACCUCUCCAACUAGCUAAUCUGACGCGAAUCCAUCCAUAAGCGAUAAAUCUUUCAUAACACAGCCAUGCGGCUAUCUUACUUCAUGCGGUAUUAGUCCACGUUUCCAUGAAUUAUUCCACUCUUAUGGGCAGGUUAUUCACGCGUUACUCGCCCGUCCGCCACUAAGUUAUAUCAGUUUCGUUCCGAAGAACUCCGCUAAAAUAACUCCGUUCGACUUGCAUGUGUUAGGCACGCCGCCAGCGUCGUCCUCGAGCCACGGAUCAAACUACU